This 213-nucleotide long non-coding RNA is filed under the name Phasianus colchicus (ring-necked pheasant). Its description in RNAcentral is "lncRNA (ENSPCLG00000018259.1)". The record is from RNAcentral. Lineage: Eukaryota; Metazoa; Chordata; Aves; Galliformes; Phasianidae.
UGAUGAUCUAUUAUUACCUCCUCGUGCACUUCCCCAAGACCUGCAGAUAAAAAGACAGAAUGGGCAUAUAAUAUCAUAUGAAGAAUCUUUGCAUUGCCUUUGAUUUUUCUUCAGGCUUUCCUGCUGGAUCAGAUUGAUUGCGUGGUUACAAACCCUCACCAAAUUAGGCAUCAGAGCAUCCACCCCCAGCUUUAUCUGGAAGCCUCACUUUCC